UACAGAGGGGGCAAGCGUUGUUCGGAAUUACUGGGCGUAAAGGGCGCGUAGGCGGCCUUCUAAGUCGAACGUGAAAUCCCCGGGCUCAACCCAGGAACUGCGUCCGAUACUGACAGGCUUGAAUCCGGGAGAGGGAUGCGGAAUUCCAGGUGUAGCGGUGAAAUGCGUAGAUAUCUGGAGGAACACCGGUGGCGAAGGCGGCAUCCUGGACCGGCAUUGACGCUGAGGCGCGAAAGCUAGGGGAGCAAACGGG
Molecule: ribosomal RNA, 253 nt
Filed under: uncultured bacterium
Lineage: Bacteria
Description: partial 16S ribosomal RNA
Rfam family: Bacterial small subunit ribosomal RNA
Source: RNAcentral